GUGCUCUUGUCUGGGGCUCGAGGAAAGAACAUGCUUCAGGCUCACUGGGGGCUAGAGGACUUCUCCCUGUGGCUGAGGGACAGAGGCCCCACUCCCCUGUGGGCUGUCAGCUCAAGGCUGGCUGCAUCCGCCUUCUCAAAGCCAGCAAGGGCACCCUGAGUCCUCCUCACGCCGAGUCCUCUCUGCCACCCUCUUCCGCCUGCAUCCAGAGGACGCUCUCUGCUGUCAGGGCUCCCCCAGAAACCAGGAUAACCUCCCUCGUUUAAGGCCAACUGUCCAGAGAACAAUGUGCCUCAGGGCGGCCUCUCAUCACACUCAAGCUUCUGGGGCCUCAGCCGCGCUUCUGACCUCAGGUCCAGCCACACAUCCCGCCCCCGAGGGAAGGAUUCAGACCUGGAGCCCUUUUUCUUGAGGAGCUGGGCAGUGGUGGGCUGGACAGCAGAAGGAAGUCCAGAAGCCAGAUCUGCACAACGGACCCUGCCAAGCAGCCCCUGGCCUUUGCCCAAAGUGGAGACGAUGGAGGGCUCAGGACGACGGGGCGAGGUGCUCAGUGCAGAGGAGGGAGCCUGCACCCACUGGGGUAGAGCUGAUGGCCUGAGCAUAUGCGGCACCCACGGGACAGAAUGCUCUUCCCCCAUCCUUGCCCAGGUUGCUGGAGCUGACACCCAGGUGAACGCGGCUGGGACGAAACAGUGGUGCCGAGGACGGCCAGGUGAGCAGCAGAGGACGAUGACAGGAAUUCUGAGUCCGCCUCAGUGAACAAAGCGGCGUGUGGCACACGGUCAUGCCACGAGCCUGAGAGCAGAUUGCAAAGCAAAGCGUGUAGUGCAAUCCAACUUUUGGAAAGAAAAAUAAAUCCUUUAUAUAUGACGGUGUAAUAAAGAAUUGAACCUUGCCCAGAGAGACCUGGCCUCUUCCCCCAGCUUCUGAGAGGUGGUCUCUAAGCCACAUGGGACGGUCUUGGUUUGCCUGGGCCUUUGGACCACACCAGGAGGCCUAAAGUGUGAUUCAGGUAGGGGUUGCGAUGAGCUCACCCUCGAGUGAGCUGGAGACCUCCAUCCGCAUGGGCAGUCAACCAUGGGGCCCCAGCAAAGGCUCUGGGACACUAAGCUCGGGGGAUCCCACCUGGAUGCCCCAAGUGACACUGCCCACAGCUCUGUGGGGAAGGACCCUCUGCAGGUGGGAACUUCCUGGACUCCGGCCUGAGCGCCUUUCCCUGGGUUGAUAGUCAUCUGUGUCCUACCCUUGUGCUAAGUCAUGACCAUGAGUAUAUCAGCUUUCAGUGAGUUUUUCUAGCGAAUUAUCAAAACUGAGGGUGGUCUUGGAGACCCCUACCCUUGUAACUGGUGAAGAAUUGAGGACAGUUUUGUAGAUUAUGGUUCCCUCUAGCCCUGCAAUGAUGUUGACUGUAAGUACAUUAAAGUAUUUGUUAGACACUGGAAAACGAUAUGCAAAAUGUAGGAAGUGGAUGCCUC
RNAcentral lists this long non-coding RNA (1475 nucleotides) under Homo sapiens (human). RNAcentral describes it as "HSALNT0117482". The record is from RNAcentral. Lineage: Eukaryota; Metazoa; Chordata; Mammalia; Primates; Hominidae.